CCUACGGGUGGCAGCAGUGAGGAAUAUUGGUCAAUGGACGCAAGUCUGAACCAGCCAUGCCGCGUGCAGGAAGACGGCUCUAUGAGUUGUAAACUGCUUUUGUACGAGGGUAAACGCAGAUACGCGUAUCUUUCUGAAAGUAUCGUACGAAUAAGGAUCGGCUAACUCCGUGCCAGCAGCCGCGGUAAUACGGAGGAUUCAAGCGUUAUCCGGAUUUAUUGGGUUUAAAGGGUGCGUAGGCGGUCGGAUAAGUUAGGUGUGAAAUCCCGAGGCUCAACUUCGGAAUUGCCUUUGAUACUGGUCGGCUAGAGAGUAGUUGCGGUAGGCAGAAUGUAUGGUGUAGCGGUGAAAUGCUUAGAGAUCAUACAGAACACCGAAUGCGAAGGCAGCUUACCAAGCUAGUUCUGACGUUGAGGCACGAAAGCGUGGGGAGCAAACAGGAUUAGAUACCCCAGUAGUC
Molecule: ribosomal RNA, 460 nt
Filed under: uncultured bacterium
Lineage: Bacteria
Description: partial 16S ribosomal RNA
Rfam family: Bacterial small subunit ribosomal RNA
Source: RNAcentral